This is a non-coding RNA of Lonchura striata (white-rumped munia), 314 nucleotides long. Lineage: Eukaryota; Metazoa; Chordata; Aves; Passeriformes; Estrildidae. The record is from RefSeq and is a predicted model, not a curated record.
GAUGAAUUCCAGAACGUGCAAAACGCAACAAAAGCAGACGUCCUGUAGAAAGAAUCUUUGCGGUUACAAUUGUAAGAUACUGGGGUUUUAGGUCCCGGAGCCUUUUACAGAGCUUGCUCAGAUUCCCAACUGUGUAAAUUGUGACUGUAAUCCACGUACCUUUUUCCCUGGAUAUCAGCAUUCUCCAUGGAGUAUGCUUUAGGUUUUUUUCUUGUUGGCCCAAAUCACAUUUGGAAACCAAAAAAGGCCUGAAUCCAACUUAUUCCUUGUUGUAAGACCAUUUUAGGUUCAUGCAAAUGGUGAAAAAAAAUAAA